GGAGGAGGAGGUAGUGGAGACAGAGGGAGGAGGAGGUAGUGGAGACAGAGGGAGGAGGAGGUGGUGGAGACAGAGGGAGGAGGAGGUAGUGGAGACAGAGGGAGUAGGAAGUGGAGACAGAGGGAGGAGGGAGUGGAGACAGAAGAGGAGGGAGUGGAGACAGAGGGAGGAGGAGGUAGUGGAGACAGUGGGAGGAGGUAGUGGAGACAGAGGCAGGUGCGAGUGGAGACAGAGGGAGGAGGAGGUAGUGGAGACAGAGGGAGGAGGAGGGAGUGGAGACAGAGGGAGGAGGUAGUGGAGACAGAAGGAGGAGGGAGUGGAGACAGAGGGAGGAGAAAGUGGAGACAGAGGGAGGAGGAAGUGGAGACAGAGGGAGGAGGAGGUGGAGAGAGAUGGAGGAGGUAGUGGAGACAGAGGGAGGAGGAAGUAGAGACAGAUGGAGGAGGAGGUAGUGGAGACAGAGGGAGGAGGAUGUAGAGACAUAGGGAGGAGGAUGUAGAGAGAGACAGAGGUAGGAGGAGGUGGUGGAGACAGAGGUAGGAGGAGGUAGUGGAGACAGAGGGAGGAGGAUGUAGUAGAGACAGAGGGAGGAGGAUGUAGUAGAGACAGAGGGAGGAGGAGAUAGUAGAGACAGAGGGAGGAGGUAGUGGAGACAGAAGGAGGAGGAGGUAGUAGAGACAGAGGGAGGAGGAGGUAGUAGAGACAGAGGGAGGAGGUAGUGGAGACAGAGG
Long non-coding RNA from Oncorhynchus tshawytscha (Chinook salmon), 731 nucleotides. NCBI's taxonomy places the organism in Eukaryota, Metazoa, Chordata, Actinopteri, Salmoniformes, Salmonidae. The record is from Ensembl.